Molecule: long non-coding RNA, 222 nt
Filed under: Ananas comosus (pineapple)
Lineage: Eukaryota; Viridiplantae; Streptophyta; Magnoliopsida; Poales; Bromeliaceae
Description: long non-coding RNA (ACOM_LNC042190)
Source: RNAcentral
UUCCAAGUUCAAUCAAUUCCUUAACUUUAAGGAAGACUAUGCUCACAUGACUCUUAACACUAAGGUUGAUUGUCAUAAUAUCUCGGUCGUUCUUGUUCUUGCAUUCUUUUCUAUCACCAAUGUCAUAUAAGCUAUCAAGUUCUUGUACUCAUGCCACACUUGUUCACUAAGUGUUCUAUAUUCUAGUUCUCACGUCAAAUGCCACACUUGUUUACUGAGUGU